AUUGAACGCUGGCGGCAUGCCUUACACAUGCAAGUCGAACGGCAGCGGGCCUUCGGGUGCCGGCGAGUGGCGAACGGGUGAGUAAUGCAUCGGAACGUGCCAUUGAGUGGGGGAUAACGUAGCGAAAGUUGCGCUAAUACCGCAUAUUCUGUGAGCAGGAAAGCAGGGGACCGCAAGGCCUUGCGCUCUUUGAGCGGCCGAUGUCAGAUUAGCUAGUUGGUGAGGUAAAGGCUUACCAAGGCGACGAUCUGUAGCGGGUCUGAGAGGAUGAUCCGCCACACUGGAACUGAGACACGGCCCAGACUCCUACGGGAGGCAGCAGUGGGGAAUAUUGGACAAUGGGCGCAAGCCUGAUCCAGCCAUGCCGCGUGUGUGAUGAAGGCCUUAGGGUUGUAAAGCACUUUUCACCGAUGAAGAUAAUGACGGUAGUCGGAGAAGAAGCCCCGGUAACUUCGUGCCAGCAGCCGCGGU
This 471-nucleotide ribosomal RNA is filed under the name uncultured bacterium. Its description in RNAcentral is "bacterial SSU rRNA". It matches the Rfam family "Bacterial small subunit ribosomal RNA", at positions 30 to 521 of the family's 1533-position model. The record is from RNAcentral.